RNAcentral lists this unclassified non-coding RNA (2215 nucleotides) under Hevea brasiliensis (rubber tree). The record is from RNAcentral. Lineage: Eukaryota; Viridiplantae; Streptophyta; Magnoliopsida; Malpighiales; Euphorbiaceae.
GUUUUAUAAUUACAGCUCUCUCACUAGCAAAACCAUUGCCUUUGAGACAAACUGUCAUUUUUUUUUUCUGUAGUACAAGCAUCAAAACCAUAUUCGUAUCAUUAACAAAGAAUGCUACUUUUCUUUUUUUAAUAGUGUAGUCUUCCUGCAUCCAUCAAAUAUAGAGUUGCUUUCAGCAGCUGCUAACCAUAAGUAUUAUUACGAAACUGCAACUUUUACAUAUUUAAUAUUUAUAUGAACACAUAGUUUACAUUGGCAAUUCUAAUAAAUGAAUGGUAAAGAAAUUAGUUGUUUGUCAAUUUUAUAGCAUCUAUAGAUUUCUUGGGAUUGCUUAGAUUCAAUCACCUGGUUUCCCAAAGCUAGGGGUAAAAAUCUGGCCAAUUGCUUCAAGUGCUGAAACAUUCCAGCUUUCAGCAUGCCUAACAACCUGUCCAAUUAAAAGUUUCUACUUCUCUUAAAUAUUGGCACUACAAACACAAAAUCAACUUCUGCAAAGAUAAAAAAAAGUGCAAAAGGUUGGAGGUGAGGAUAGAAGAAAAAGAAAGAAAGAAGAAAGGAUUUUAUCUCACUUUAAAUUCAUCAUUUAUUUCAUAAAUUGUGCUUCCAUCAAUUGAAAUAAAAGGCCUCCAUGGAAAUUUAAGGUAGGUUCUGCAGUUAAAUAAACUAAUUCAGAAUAAUACUGAUGGUGCCAAAUCUGAAAAUUUUGAUGAAAAAACAAGGAAGCACUUCCAUAGACAAGGAAACAAACAAUUGUUUAGCAUGCACAGGGUAACAGCAAAUUAGCCCAGUAGUCCUUCACCCAAACAGGUCCUUUAACUAGAGAAAUGAGUGAGAAGAGUAGCAUAUUCAAAUUCCUUAAUCUGCAAGGUUAAGCAUAAACAUGCACUGCAGUUAUUAAUUUAAAAAAGGCAUCAACCCAAAUCCAAAUGGAGGAACACUGGAUAUUUUUAUCAACAGUUACACAUGACAUCUUAAGAGGUAGUAUUAUUUCAGGCAAAUGAAAACAUUUCAAGCAGCAACAAUCUUCUUCAUCCCUUAGGUGCUCUUCUUUUUUUCCUUAUUGUUCUUUUCGAGCCUCUUCCACAUUCCAUUUAUUUCAAGAAAUGUGUCAAAGGAAAUAUAAAAGUCCAAACAACAAUCAGAGUUGUAUAUGGCUAUAUGCAGGAGAACUGAUGGGGCCAGAAAAAAGCUUAGUACAGCACAUAUUUGACAUAUAAAUAACCGGUGGACAUUGAGUGAUGCUGCUUUUUUUCUUUCUAUUUUUUCAUAUGCUUUUGGGUAAGCUUUUAUCUGUCCAUUAAUGAUGGAAAACAAAGCUUCAAUUCUUGAAUAAAUCUCUCCCUUACCCAGCCCCACCUUUAGAAGUAAACAUGAAAAUGAGCUCAGCUAAGUUGAUAUUGCCUUGAACAUAUAAAAUGGAGUUAACCAAUUUAGGCACCUUAGUUCCCACUUUGCCAGCACAAAUUUUGUUUCAGAAUUGACACCCUUCUCAAUAUUUUGCAGUCCAAUUGAUGGGGAGUCAAAGAAAGGAACUAGUAGUUUCAAGUUGCGGGCGUACAAAUCAGUACCUAAAGUUCCAAAGACAAUAAAAUCCAAAAGCUCACAAAGAAAUUAGAGACAAACUGCUGAAGCACAUAAGCAUUUUAUCAAACACAAUGCUCAGCAAAAAUUGCAUAAUUUUUCUUACCUCGAAAUCUGAUAGUAGGAUCUUCAAAGAGACAAUCUUCAGCAUAAAUUGCAGAAGUGAAAAUCCCUACCAUCCAAAUAAAGAUCAGAAAAGCAUCAAUUCACAUUGGCAAAAGUAACCUAACAGAAAAUAUUAAGUGAAAAUUUAGGUUACCCGUAACAAAAUAAGCAUUCUCAUAAUCUCCCAUGAGGAUUAUUACGACAUCAUCAAUACCCGAAACAGAUAUCUCAUCUCUUUCUUCACAGCUCACCCUAUCCAGACUAUCUUUGCUAGAGAAGGAGAAGAGCCUGAGAAGCUCCGUGACUCCACUUACGGCGAAUUUCAAAAUUCGUGGGGUUUUAGAUUUAGUUCCAACUCUGCUCCAUUUUUCAUUAACUGGUGCCCCUGAGCAGCAUUGGAUUCCAUGAAUUCUCCUUAAACUCAAGGUUGGAUUGGGUGAUAUUCCCGCCAUUUUCCAGAAGUCGUUAACGGUUAAUCGGCAACGGAAUUUGAGUGUUCCUGUUUCUUAUCCUCACAAUUUAUUCUUGC